Parus major (Great Tit) is the source of this 6474-nucleotide long non-coding RNA. RefSeq lists it as uncharacterized. The record is from RefSeq and is a predicted model, not a curated record. NCBI's taxonomy places the organism in Eukaryota, Metazoa, Chordata, Aves, Passeriformes, Paridae. The transcript is spliced from 8 exons.
CAGCUGUACCUGUCCCCUUGUUGUCUAAUAGGGUACGACUUUUAAGUUCAGCAAGUUGAGGAGGCUGAGCUGUAACCAAACCAAGAAUUUGAAGCCAUUAGCUAAAAUACUUAAUUGUUUCUGCUUGUAACAAGACUGUGGUAUAUAAUGAUUAUGCACAUGAUAGUUUUUAAUUGAGAACUUAGCAACUUGUUAUUGUUUCUGCCUGAUUUUUGACAUGAAGAUCUUUUGAUGGGGUUGUGCAUAGGUUGUAACUGCCAUAUUGUCUUUUACUGGCUUUAGAGCUGAAUGGAUCUUUGUGUCAGUCUUUGGUUUCUUGGUACAUUAGCUUUGUUUAAGAAAAAUUGACUGCUCCUUCAGUGCAAAAGUCCUGCUGAUUUUUAAAUAAUUUGAGGGCAAGGAGCAGCUAAAUCCACUCUUGAGUGGCACCAGGGUUCAACUGAUGUGGGCUGUUCCAGGAUGUGUCCUUUCUACAUAGGUUCAAGCCCUUAAACUGGGACAUGCUAGAUAUCCUUAACAGAGAAGAUCACAGAGCAGUCCUCAAUAAUAAUUUGUAAGGUAAAUGACUGCUCUAAAGGAGAUAUUUGUAUUUUAUGGAUGAGUUUUGCUUGGCCAGAAUGAAAUAAUGUUUUAGCCAUUUAGAAAUAGAUACAUAUUUCCAGCCUGACCUUUAUUUUAGUAACUGUAAUAUACCAGAAGGAAAAAAACACCAAGGUCAUACUCGAAAGUUCUGGUGUUCCUUCAUUGUGAGUAACACUGAUCAUUUUUUAGGCAAAAUCAGCUGUUACCUAGGUGGCAGCAGUGGUGCUUAGUGUAUUGGAAACACCCAAUGCUGCCAGUGCCAGCUUUUAAGUGUGGUCUGUAGAGUAAAAUGGACAGUGCUGUAUCAAUUUCACUAACAAGCAAAGACCAGUUUGAAACAAGUUUUGACAGUCCUCGAUGUCAGUCCUGGAGAGCCAACAUCAGAUACUUUAUUUCACAGGAAAAAAGAGUUUUUCAUGUCACUCACCCAGGGAAUAUACAGGUCAUGUUGCCAGGCAGUGAGAAAAGAAAUGAAACAAAACCUGUCAUCAGAAUCUCUGUAAAGAGAUUCUAAUUGUAUCAAUAAUGCUUUUAAAAACAUGAGUUACUUAUUGAUUUUUGAAAGCCUAUGAACAUAACAGCUAACUUUGAUUUCUUCUAACACUUCGCUAUUGACUCUCAGCUGCAGAAGACUGGAGCAGUUUUGAAGAGUGAUGCAUAUAGAGGAAUGCACUGAUCCCAGAAAUAAAGCAAAAAGGAUGAAGUGGAAACAGGGGUGGUUUUUGCUUCCCAGUGCUUUGAAAAGGAAUCAGUGUAUUUUCAGAAUUUUAAGUACAGGGCUUGUGAGGAGAAAAAAAAAAAUCUCUACUAAAAUAGUCCAAAGGUUGAUUUAUUGAUCAAUGUGCUUUACAAGUACUGUGGCCACGUCUGCCAGUGUUCCUCUGUACUGUGCAGAGAUUGACCUGUCAAUGAAAAAGAGACAGAAACAUUUAGUUUGCCCCAAGUCAAUCAGUUCAUGGCAGAGCAGGAAUGGGAUUAGUAUCUAAUUUCAAAUCUCUCUAUCAUGAUAGUGUAGACACAAAGGAAUUUCGGUGAUGUGAUGCCUCUGAUUUUUAGAACUUUUACCUCAUGAAAGGCUGAUGCACCUGUUCUGAAGGGGUUUUAGGAAAACGAGUUUUGGCACAAGUCCCUCCAUUUGGGCAGAGGAGUGACAUCCUGUAGGCUUUAAGUGGCAAUUAAGAGCACGAAUAGAUCGCUGGAAGCAACUGCAGUAAAGUGCUGCCACCUAAUUGCUGAACACUUAGGAUUCCUAGUAACAAGUAGUCUCUCUCCUAUGGACUGCAAAGUAAGUUAGGCUAUUUCUUGGAAAUACAAAGAUGAUAAAUAUCCGCAUACUUAAUUUCUGUUGGGAUCUCUAGUUAAUCUUUUCUUUUGGCCAUUCUGCCAUGUGCUAGAUGUUUAGGUUUUCAGGCUGUGAUAGGGAUGUACUCUUAGGCUGUACUGAGAACCUCAGUGUAGAGAAGGUGUGUUUCUGUUCUUGCUUUCUCAUGUAAAGCUUCUUUGCUGAGACCCUUUCUCUGCUGCUGUGUUUACUGUUUAGCCUCACUACAUUAAUUUUGCCAUUAGGAAGAGCUGUUCUAGAUGAAAUAGUACUGAUUUGUAUAUUUUGAGGUGGAUUCAUAGAUGUUGCCACAAGAUUAUAGUUUCCUCUAGUAGGAAGAGUGGUGUUAGUUCUGAAAGCAUCAUGCAGGAUUUUAGAUGACAUUUGAAAACUUUCAGGUUCUGAUGGUAUUCUUUGUGUUCUAAGUCUUUUAAUGAUCCAGUUGUCUUCAGAACUGACAAGUUAGUAAUUUGAAGAUUUGAUGCACAGAUGUUCUGUUCCUGCUGUGGGUACAGAUGAUUUUCUUAUAUUUAUUCCUAGUUGCUGUAGUUACUGUCAGUGCAGAAAAUUGUAGUGUUCAGUAAGUGAUGGGUUUUUUGAAAGCACGCAAGUGUUUUCUUCUGUUUCCACCAUGUGCAAUCUUGGAUAUAAACCCUAGUGGAAUUUUGUCAGUGCUGGUCUGCAACUUCAAGUUUUUCUUCUAAAUCCAUUUAGUACCUUCAUUCCAGAUUUCACACUCUUUCCAAUUUCCCCCUUUUUUCCAUAUCACCAGGCUGCUUUUGUUUGUUGUCUUUUCCACCUAUUUUGAGGAGACAGGUGGUAAUGUUUUGUCAGACAAGCAUGACUCCCAGCUGUGGAUUAAUUUACUUGCUUAAGUACCAACAGGUGCCUCUGCAUUCUCUAGGGGGAUACACAUUUCCUUUCCUCUGGAAUCUUUGUACUUUCCAUCAAUGCUUGACCCACUGUCCAAAUCCCCUGCUAGCAAAUUCUGCUGUCUUUCCUUUCAGAUGUAAUAAUUCCCUCAGCCUCAAAGUAAUACGCUUUCUGUUGUCUACCUUUUCUUCUUUUCUUUACAUGCAUCUGCUUAAACAGGGUCAUGGUCUGAAAUUAUUCUUUGAUAUUUACCAUUUCCAUGAUUCAAUUUUUCCUCCAGGUAUUUUUGAAACUGGGCUGUUGUACAAAUGCUGGCAACAGUAGCUCCUGUACAUCAAGUUUGUAUUUUUUCUGUUGAGGGUCAUACAUUAAAAAUACAGGUAUUUUAAGAACUUCACUGAUGCUUUCCUUGUGUUUGUUAUCCUAGUCUACCUUAGGUUUGGGUGUUCUCAUUAAAGCAAGCCAGAUUACCUCACAGUUUAUCCGCUUGAGCAAACAAACUAUAUUUGCAUUUCUUUUCUGUUGAGAUAUGUGGCAGCCUCCAAGUAGCAGAGCCAAAGAUCUAAGUUUGAACUGAGUCUCCUGGAAAGGACUCGGGAUCUUUUCACGGCUUUUUCAGGAAGAUGGCUACUGAGUGUCAAGUCGGCAGGUGGGGGCUUCUCAUUCUGAUGUCUUUGAUCCACAACAAUCCUCUCAUCAGGAGAGAAAUACUUGGGGCUGAGUCACACCUUGGACCAGGACAUCUAUCUAGCUGAGAUUUCCACUUGAGAGAGAAGAGUCCUACUCUGAAAGAGCUGCAGACAGCACAGCACACAACAGAUGGGAGUGGGGAGCCGUGUGAGGCAGAGACUGCAGCUUUCCUCCAGUGAGGCUCUCUUCCAGCCCCUGGACAGCUCUGUCUAUAGUGUGCUAGGAUUCUUUGAAAUUGGCAUUUGCUUCCCUGAAGCUGUUCUGUCAGAAGAGUCUUGAUCAACUCUGAGAUCUGCAGGACAAUGUCAACUUUUCCUGCAAGAGACUUUAUUCUGCUUACAUGUGCAGCCUGAAAGCCUUGAAAGCAAGCUGCUGUGGAAAGGAGUGAAAAUUCAGUUCUUCAGCAAAGAGGAAGGUUCUCUGGCUGUCAGCUCCCCCUGCUCCCAAGUUCAGCUCAUGGUCCGUAAGUUGUUCCGGUUUUACUUGUGGCACAAGCUGUACUGGUUGGCAAGGCUCUCCUCCUGCAGACUUGACUUUGAAACUUCAGCAGUUGAGGAGAAGGAAUAUAUUUGAAGCUUGCUGAAAGGACUUGGUGAGGAUUGCAUUGGGGCAGCUUGUUGGGUUUGGUCAGCGGAAUGGCAGAAUCCAGGCAAAGGACAGGAUCCCCCUCCAUUACUGCUGGCUGCCACGUGAGGAUGGACCUGUGUCGGUGGGACACUGCUGUCACUGUGUGUUUCCCCAUGAAGAAGGGGUUCUCACUGUGCUAUCACAAUCACAGGAGAAGUGGGAGAACUACAGGCAGACAUCCUGCACUUGUGGCUACCAGGUUUUUAGGAGAGACGAAUGGUGCUUUGUGUGUAUUCCAUAGCCUGCAGAUAGGAGAAAUCAAAAGUGCCGAGCUGACAACUUAAACUUUGUCAAGUAAAAGGUUGGUUGGUGGCUUUCUCACAGUUUUCAUCCCCCAUCUUAGAACUAUUUGCAAAGCUGAGCUAUUAAACUUCACAGCACUAAAGGAGAAUGGCAUCUCUUGAACUGUGAGAGUUGAGUUACUGAUCCACCCCCAGGAAGUGAUUCCCAUAACUGACUGCAAGUGAGAUAAUUCCUCGUGGUGUUCUGCUUUGAUGGACACACAAAGGUACCAACACAGUGUGUGGCUACAGGUGCACAGGUUUUCUGUAACUGUUUUAGUGUCUAAAUUCCCAAAGACUCCUGAACAAGCAGGUUUCUUCUUUGUUUAGAAAAGUAAACCAGGCUGAAAUUAGAAGCAUCAGUUGGAAAUGAUAAAUAUUCAUUACCUUGGGAGUUGAUGCAGUUGACCAGUAUUGAUUUCUGCUGCUGAGGAUUGUGUUCUAUGCCCGAGUGUCUGACUGUGACACUGAGAUCUGGGUGGUGUUUGCCCUGGGAUGCCCUGUGCUUUGUGGCUGUGACAUCAGGCAUUUUCAAACCUCAGGAAUUCAAGCUGUAAGUAAUACAGACCCAGUGUAAUACUGGCAUUUCCAGACUGCUUUGGUCUGUCUUCUAUCCUGUUUGUCACUCAGAGAGCCUGGAUGUUCCUGUGUGCAACAGCAGGUCCUAUUCAACACCAGGAAGUGACAGAGGAUGUGGUGUUGCAGCCCAGCUGUGCUUCCCUGGGCUGCUGUAAUAGGAGAGACUGCUCCCAAGCCUUUGUCCCUCUCCAGCUGCACAAAGUUCAUCCUCACUUUGGGAAGAUGCCAUAUUUAAUCCUCUUGCACCUGGGCAAGACAUGCCACACAUAGGUGCAGUGACUAACAGAAGGACACAGCAGCCAAAACCAAAUACUAGAGACAGCUUUGUCUUGCAGAGGGUUCGUUGUGAUCAAAUUGUUAUUCAGGAACUUGUCCUACUGCUCUCAAUUGAAUCUCAGCUCUGUGCUAUAAAUUUAAUCCUCAGACAUUUCUGUACAAAUUCACAGAAAGUGCAUUUGUGCACCUUUUAAACUGUAACAUAGGUAUUUUUAGCUGUCAAUAAGUAUUUAUGAUUCAACUUUAAAAUGCCUUUGUCCAAGUUUGUUUUCAUCUUUAAAAGAAUGACUGUCCAUAUGCUUGGAAGUAUUUACAUAAAGUCCUAGACUUGUCUGCAUUAAUAUCCUGUUCAAAGUGUUGGGAGUUGAAAUAUAAAAGGGGAGAAAGAAAGGGAUGAAUGUUAAUUUGUUUUUAAAUGUUCAAAUGUUGUGUUUCCAAAAGAUAUGCCUGGCUUUAAAUUGCAGAAAUUCUGAAAACUAAUGUGUUUAUAAACUUGAGUGAUAGGUAAUUUUCACUCUUGUCUGUUACUGAUGAACUUGUUCAUUAAUUUCACUACUUUUAACAUAAGUACUAAGCAUUCAUACUCAGAGUUCAUGCUGAUACAAGACUUAUUUGAGGAUUAGUUUAUCCAGGCUUUUGCUUUUGGAGUGACAUAUAUUUCUUUAGGCUCUAGUACCAAGAAUGCACCCUUUUUAGCCACAUGUAACAAAAGCUAAAUCAUAUUUGCAUAUCAGCAAACCCAACAGAAUUUAUUUUGGAGAGUAACAGCUUUAAAGUGUCCAUACAGUAGAGUGAGUGAUGUAUGAGCAAACAUGGUUCAUUUUGCAGGAACUGCAGUCUUUUCCUGUUCUCCUUUUUUAUUACAUUGCUAGGCUAACAAUAAAAACUUGGUAUUUGAGUUUUCUUAUUAAAGUGUGGUGGUGGAAGGAGGAGUGUCAAUUAAUGUCAAAUUCAACUGAAAAAUGUUAUGAUGAAAUGGUCAGCAGCAGGUGAGGAUUAAGAAAAGUGGUAAAGCCCACAAUGGGGAACCACAUUCAAUAGCAACUUUCUGGCACAGGAAUAAACAUGAACAUGUUGCUGAGAUUUCCAAGUACAAUUUAGUUUGACCUUUAAUUAAGCAGCAAUCUCUACAAGGUAACUUAAUUACCUUAUCCCUAGGGUGGUCAUGUAAGGUAGGUGGCAUUGUUUGUGUCACUUAUGUACUGUAUAGGCUUAAGAAAAAUACACAGAGAAUAACUCUUUCCU